Molecule: long non-coding RNA, 6847 nt
Organism: Cornus florida
Lineage: Eukaryota; Viridiplantae; Streptophyta; Magnoliopsida; Cornales; Cornaceae
Exons: 10
Source: RefSeq, a predicted model, not a curated record
CCAUCCACACACAAUGCUUCCACACACAAUGCUUCGAGAUUAGCUAAAACAUCCACCAGCACAUAUGCGGAGGCGCACCCGUCAAGGUCGAUUGGAAGGGUAGUUUCUCCAAACUGCGGAAUCAACCCCAUAACCGCCACCAACAUUCCCACCUAACAACCAGUAGCGGCACCACCACCACCACCAUCUCCGUCGAACGGCACAACUAUCAACGGCGCCGAUCUGUUGAAAACCAGAACCAGAAUGCGGCGGCACCACCUCCCGGAGGCCAAAAUCGAGUCUGCCAACGCCGUUCUCCAUUUUCUCUGGCGACGUCCAGUGCCACCUCUUACCGAGUCGUCGCCUUCCUUGCCUUGUCACACAUCUGUACAAAGAUGGGAUGAGGGAGACAUAGAGUUGUUGAUUGUACAAAGUGGUGGUGGUGAUUGUGGUGGGCGGGCAUGGCGGCAAGGUUGGUCUCGUCAGGCAGCGACAUUUAGGGUUGGGAUGGUAUGAAGCUGUUACUUUGCCCGAGAAUCGUGAGGAAGAGCUUGGAGAGAUUGAGCAGUCCCUUCAAUGUUCUACCGCAACCACAGCGAUGGGUUUUCAGCAAACUGCCUAUUUUGCAAUGGUAAUUAACUUUCAUCCCCACAGCCCACUCCACCACCAGCUCCACUUUUCUCUCUUGAUUGUGAAGAUAUGCUACUUCUUGGAGACCAUGUUAACGAAACAUCAAGAAGAAGUCCUUGGAGCUCAUAGUCGAAGCCAAGAGGGACCUUGAUGGUCUUGGAGGGGUCUCAUUCCACCACUUUGUGUCUCCGUAACACCGAAAAUUUUCAACCUAUUUGGUUGAGUUUGGGAGUUGCAGCGUUUGGCAAGGAGUAGUAUGGCGUGGUUGAGGCAGGGGAGAAAUUGGAGGGUGGAUCGAUGGUUUGGUUGAUGGGAUUGGAGGGUUUCUUGAGUUUGGGUUACAAUUUGGUGAAAGGAUGGAAGUAAUCGGAGAAAAAAUGGUACAUCAGAUGUUGAAAUUGGAGAUGGAGUUUGAAAAUCCAAUACAGGUACAUCUAGGUCGGUCGGUUAAGCAUCUCUCCGGGGAAGGAGUGGUUGAAUAGUUCUAAGAUGGCCCUCCCCUUAUGUACAGUAAAAGGUUCGUGCCGCUCUUGUUCUCUUUUCCGCAGCAUGCUGUUAGCUGACUUUGCUCCCUCUAUCUGUGUUUAAUUGUGUGUGCGUGUGUGUGUGUGAGAGAGAGAGAGAGAUGUGGUGGUUAGUGACGACGGUGGUGGUGGUGGUGGUGGUGGUGGUUGCGGAUAUAUGGCGUACCCUGCACAAAUUGGCGUUCGACCCUCUUCUAUUGAAACGGGAACCAAGCUCUACAUCUCAAAUUUGGAUUAUGGUGUCUCAAAUGAGGACAUCAAGUAAUUUUCUAAACACGAAAUCUACAGUUGUCUUGAAGGUGGAUCCAAAUUGGUCGCACAAUGAGCAUUCAAAGAAAAGAUGAUGUAACUCGUCUUCUGUGGGAAUAAACGAAGCUUGGAAGGUGAAAGCUGUUAAACACUCCUCCCCAAGGGCAUAUUUCAGGCCAAGUAUGAAGCUGUUACCUUGCCCCAGAAUUGUAAGGAAGAGCUUGGAGAGAUUGAGCAGUCCCUUCGAUGUUCUACCACAACCAGGUUUUCAACAAACAGCCUAUUUUGCAAUGCCUGUCUGUGCGUGUAUAGCGAUUGGAUAAUGUGGAUGAACCUUGUGUCAACAACAACAACGAUCCCAGGCAGAUACUGAUACCUACAACCGCUUUGAAAGGUUCGAUAUUGAAGGAGAUGAAGAGAUGCAGCUGAAUUUCAGUCAACAACAGGACGCAGAAAUCCCAAGUACUCUAAUCCUGAGGAGCCUAAAAAACAUCAUCGAGCUCCCUAGAGCCUCGAAUGCUCCGAAACCAGAAUUAAUUGAUUGACUCGUCAGCGCCUCGAUCCGACUCAACUUGGACAUCGAACGCCCAGAUCCUCAAAUGUCCCAAUGCCACAAAUUGUCAAUCAACGAACCCAGAGCCUUGAUCUGACUUGGACAUCAAGCGCCUAGAGCCUUUGUCCCAAUGCUAUGAAUUGUCAAUCGACGAACACUUAAUUUACAACCUUAUUUUAGCAUUAUAUUAUACUUGUUCAUUUGAUGAGACAAGCCAACGCCUCAAUCUGACUCAACUUGGACAUUGAAUGCCUGAAUCCUCAAAUGUCCCAUUGCCACGAAUUGUCAAUCAACGGACCUAGAGCCUUGAUCUGACUUAGACAUCGAGUGCCUAGAGCCUUUGUCCCAACGCCAUGAAUUGUCAAUUGACGGACCCAAAGCCUCUGUCCCAACGCCAUGAAUUGUCAAUCGACGAACCCAGAGCCUCCGGCUGACUCGGACAUCGAGCGCUAAGAGCCUCUAUCCCAACGCCAUGAAUUGUCAAUCGACGAACCCAAAGCCUCGAGCUGACUUGGACAGUGAGCGCUCAAAGUCUCUAUCCCAAUGCCAUGAAUUGUGAAUCGAUGAAUCCGGCGCCUCGAUUUGACUUGAACAUCAAGCACCAGAGCCUCGAUCGGAUUAAAAAUUCAAACCAUGGCAUCCACACCAAGUCAUCCAAAACUCGAUGAGUUAUGCUCUCGAGUAAACAUUACGGGCAACACCCUCGAGUCAUCAAACCCUAACAUCCACACCAGGUCUUCAAAACUGACACCGACCGCCACAAAGCCUCAAAUGUAACUAGUUUUCUAUGUAACAUGUGUGAUGUCACGUCUGAAAAAAUUCAGUGGAUUAUAGAUCAUCAAGAGAGUGUUCACAAAAAGUCACCGUAGUGCAAAACUUGUAAACUGCGGUUCCCGACCAAACCAGAUCUACAGACGCACCGUGACGUAUAUCACUGACGGAUUUAUAUCCGUCCAGGUCUUCAAAACUGGACACCGACCGCCACAAAGCCUCAAAUGUAACUAGUUUUCUAUGUAACAGUGUGAUGUCAUGUUUGAAAAAAUUCAGGGGAUUAUAGAUCACCAAGAGAGUGUUCACAAAAAGUCGCCGCAGUGCAAAACCUGUAAACUGUGGUUCCUGACGAAACCAGAUCUGCAGAAGCACCGUGACGAAUAUCACUAACGGAUUUAUAUCCGUUAGUGUUCUUCGUCGUCUUUUUUUUUUUUUUUUUUUGGCUUUUGAUUUUCUCGUUCUUUAUUUUCUCGCUCUACGUCUUUUUUUUUUUUCCUUGUUUUUUAUUCUCUUGUUCAAAAUCAUCAUCAUACGGUAUUAGGGUUGAUAGUUUCUGUUAUUAGAAACGCAACGAACCCAAGUUGAACCAAGAAUCACGACAGAAAAGUAAACACGCCACACAUAAAACACAUAGAUUUAUACGUGGUUCGGCAACAGCCUACAUCUACAGUUGGGAUCCGGUGAAAGUUUUUACUGUGUAAAAUUGGAGAUUACAAGUUUUCAGCCCCUCACUCUAUUUCUGUACGUAUUUCAGAGUCUCUCUCUUUUCCACUCCAAACCCUAAGUACCCUUAUAUAUCGGGCUACAAGAGGCUAAUUAGGGUUCACGACCCAUGAGCAAAAAACGGGUCAAAAAAUUUUCCAAAGCUUUGGUAGGUUUGGGCCCACACAAAGCUCAUCCAACGGGUUGUUGGGUCAUAAACGGGUCGCAACGUGACCCCCGACACCAAACUCGGGCCACAAUAUCAUAGUUUUGUAACCACGAAAAUAAGCAUUGCACCAAUGCCAGCCUUAGAAAAGAAACACAGUUUCUUAGGGUUAAGGUUAAACUACUAGUAAAUGCAUAAUUGUACACCAUAAACAUUUAUUACUCUAAUCACUAGGUUUGCUUUGCCAAGAGGAGUAGAUCCUUUUCCACUCCUAAAGCAACACCAAUAAUAAUAUUGUCUACCAAGCAGGCCAGCCAUGGAUGGUGACGAAGCAGGCCUUUCCCCGUCUUUAGUGCCACCUUUUUGAACUGUGCAGAUGGGUGUGGCAAGAUGAGCUCAGUGGUGGCUAAUUACUGAAAGAUCCAACAAUUUUGCUUCUUGUUUCAUCAAACAACAUACGGUCUUCAGCGUUGCUAAAUUACCAGUUAAUACACACUAUGGCAAACCUUGACACCAAGGACAAACAACAAUUCGACUCCACAAUAACUACCAUUACAGUAUAUCAUAUUUCAAAGAGCUAGACAUGGAAUGUAAAUCUAGUAAUUUGGAAUAUUAGCUCUCUUGAAAAAUCUCAAAGAAACCAAAAAAAAAAAUUUGAAAAUUUUGAGCCCUUUUGCAAACUUAAAGAAACUAUCGAUCCUAAUACCUAGUGAUGAUGAUUUUGAACAAGAAAAUGAAAAACGAGAAGGAAAAAAAAAAAAAAAAAAGACGUAGAAUAAGAAAAUAAAGAAUGAGAAAAUCAAAAGGAAAAAAAAGACGACGAAGAACACUAACGGAUAUAAAUCCGUCAGUAAUAUUCGUCGUAGAGCCUCUGCAGAUCUGGUUUGGUUAGGAAUCACAGUUUAUAGGCUUUUCACUGCGGCGACUUUUUGUGAACUCUCUCUUGGUGACCUAUAAUCUCCUGAAUUUUUUCAGACACGACGUCAAACAUAUUACGUAGAAAACUAGUUACUCUUUCCUGUUCAAUACAAGUAUAGAGCCUCCUAUACCAGUGCAAGUUUUGCACACCUCAGUCAUUGAUUGACGAGUAGUCUCGUCUAUUUGGGUUCAGAAAUGAACGUACAAUAAAGAUUUUAGAGUGAUUGUCUUAGCUUUGGAUUCCUAUGAUGGUCAUCUCUUUUGUUUGAGUAGUGUAGAGUGUCUUAGUGAGAGUCCAAUUUAUACUUCCUUAUUUGUUACUUGAGUUAAUGGCUAGAAAGAGUAUUUGCUAGGCUAUAAAUGGAAUGUAUAAAUGCAAUAGAAGACAUGCUAGUACUACUGCAUAUAACUGUGGUCACAUGAUGUGAUCAUGUGAUAUUUUUUACUUGCACAUUGAGAAAGGAGGAUAAUAGUGAUGGCUAAUUGGAGAAGUGCAAGUAUAAAUAGGCACAAUUUUUUUUUGAGUUUCCUGGAUUGUUCCUUUGAAAAUUUGAAAAAUGUGAGUAAGUUUUAAAAGCCUACCUCCGUUAUUAUUUGUCAAUGUGUCAAAUAAAUUUCUACUUAUCAAAAAAAAAAAAAGUGUCAAAUAAAUUUCUCCAUGUUUAUAGUCAAGGGCAGAUCCAGGAAUUGUCAAUGAGGUGGGCUGCCAAUAUUUCAUUGGGUGGGCUAAUACUAGUAAUACUAUUUUUUUGGCUCGGCUAAAAAUUGCCUUUAUUAAUUUUUUUUUUUUUUUUGGGUGGUCUAGCCCACCCCUAGGUCCGAUAGUGGCUAAGUUUAGCCCAGCUAAAAAAAAAAAUUAAUUUAUUAGUAGUACUAACCCACCCAAAAAAAUAUUAACAAUUCCUGGAUCCGCCCUUGUGCAGGCCAUAGCAUAACCUAUUGAUACUUACCACCUCGCUUCCAGCACAACCCACUCAUCAUUUUUCAUGCGCAUGCAUACACACGGUAGACUCCAACUAGUCUUGAUGGCACUGUGUAGGUACCUAGUAUUCGGGUGGGUUCAAAAUCAUAAUAAAGUAACAAAUGGUGAGGUAUAAGUUGCAACAUAGUAAAAUCCGAGGUGGAUUGAGAGAGGUUUAAGCCCAGGCAAACUUGAGAGAGAGAUAGAAAGAGGAUGGUUGUUAAUUCUGUAACUUUCACCAUUUGAUGGGAAACGAAGAAGGAACAACUAAGCAAGGGGAAAAUUCAAAAAGGAUAAGAGAUGUGGUAAGAGCAAGAAAUACUGCAAGAGGUGGAUGUGCAGAAGGCACAAGCUCUGUUUUGGUGCUGCACUAGGGGCAAAAAGAACAAGAGGAGUUGCAGGCUCUACAAGAGCUGUUGCAAGAGGUGGAGUCAGCUCUGUAAGUUCAACUUUCCCAAAAAGAAGGAUUUAAUUUGAUUUCUUUUAUUUGUGUAUACAUAUGAUAAGUCCACACCUUUUUUACAAUAUUGUCUGAUGAAUUGUUGUAAGAUAUCCAAGAAAACCUUUCAUGGUGCAUGUGUUUGCUGUGACAUAGUUUAUUAGAUACUUGCAAGGAAGUCUUAUCUACAAAGUUAGAAACAUGGAGAAAGAUUAAGGCCUAAAAAUUAGUAAAUUUAAAAUAAAUAUAGCAAAUUUGAAAAGUAGUAGAAGAUGACAAUAUAAUAUUACAAUUCAAGAUGAAAAAGAUUCAAAAUAACUACUUCUGUUAUUUAUGGUCAAUAUAUACAAGGAGAUGGGGAGAUAGCUGGUGAUAUUGUAAAUAGGAUUGGAGUAGGGUGGGACAAAUUGGAGACAAGCUAGUUUGUAUCCUAUCUGGCAAAUGAAUACCAAAUAAAUGGAAAGAAAAAUUCUAUAGAAAAGUUAUUAGGCUAACUAUAUUGUAUGGAGAAAAGGGUUGGACGUUUAAAAAGAAAGAAGGACAAUGCAUUUAUGUUAUGGAAAUGAGGACGCUAUGAUGGAUGAUAGGAGUGAUGAACCGAGAUAGAAAUGAACGAGUGAGGAAAACUAGGUAUAAUGUCUACUAAUGAUAAAAUUAGAGAAAGUGGACCUAGGUAUAUGGUCAUAUACAAUGUAGAUCCGAAGAUGCACCAGUUAGAAUAAGAAGAGGUGUUUGGCGGACAAAGAGGCCUAUCAAAACUUACAAGGGAUGAAGAAAUAAAAUAUAAGCAAGCGUUUCACAUUGCCCUGUUUCACAAUCAUUUUUUACUUUUUCAUGAUUUUUUUUUCUUUAUUUACUGAGCAUACAAAAAUUGGUACCUAAUGACAUGGUCAAAUAAUAAUAAUAAUAAUGGUACGUGCUUGCACAAAAAUUGGUACCAAUGCGUAUAAAAGUU